Molecule: transfer RNA, 359 nt
Filed under: uncultured Microcystis sp.
Lineage: Bacteria; Bacillati; Cyanobacteriota; Cyanophyceae; Chroococcales; Microcystaceae
Description: partial miscellaneous RNA
Rfam family: tRNA (bases 135-208)
Source: RNAcentral
AAGGGAGACCUAAUUCAGGUAUGGGACGAAAAAAAAGUAGUCGCUACCAAGAAUCAAUCCCAAAAGGUCGGAGCGAGGCGAAAUUGGCUUUCAAACUAGGUUCUGGGUUCACACAAGACCUGAAUCAGGAACAAGGGCUAUUAGCUCAGGUGGUUAGAGCGCACCCCUGAUAAGGGUGAGGUCCCUGGUUCGAGUCCAGGAUGGCCCACCUGCACAGGUGGCAAAAACAAGAGAAGCUCCGAAUCAGCACCUUAUCUUACUUAUAUAGUAAGAGAGAAUGCUGGCUCUGAGUUCAGAGUCCAGAGGAACCUUGAAAACUGCAUAGAGCUAGGUGAAAAAGCCAAAAAAGAAGACCGCAG